UAAAAUGUUGAGAAAAAAAUCCCCUACAUGGCAAAUAUUGGGUUAAGCUAAACAGAAGAGAAAUAGACAAAGCGAAAUCCCAACAAUUGUUGAGAAGCUCAGGACUCAAAGCAGAGACUGAAGGAUUUUUAAUUGUAGCACAAAAUCAAAGCCUUUCAACCAGAAAUCACCCAAAACAUAUAAUGAAAACAAAUACAACAAUUAACUGCAGAAUAUGUGGUGACGGA
Molecule: long non-coding RNA, 227 nt
Organism: Octopus sinensis (East Asian common octopus)
Lineage: Eukaryota; Metazoa; Mollusca; Cephalopoda; Octopoda; Octopodidae
Exons: 3
Source: RefSeq, a predicted model, not a curated record